AUCCAAAACUGUAGUUCUUGAGUGGAGUAGAGGCAAGCGGAAUUCCGAGUGUAGCGGUGAAAUGCGUAGAUAUUCGGAGGAACACCAGUGGCGAAGGCGGCUUGCUGGGCUCUAACUGACGCUGAGGCACGAAAGCAUGGGGAGCAAACAGGAUUAGAUACCCUGGUAGUCCAUGCCGUAAACGAUGAAUACUAGGUGUGGGGGGACUGACCCCUUCCGUGCCGGAGUUAACACAAUAAGUAUUCCACCUGGGGAGUACGACCGCAAGGUUGAAACUCAAAGGAAUUGACGGGGGCCCGCACAAGCAGUGGAGUAUGUGGUUUAAUUCGAAGCAACGCGAAGAACCUUACCAGGUCUUGACAUCUGGCUAACGAAGUAGAGAUACAUUAGGUGCCCUUCGGGGAAAGCCAAGACGGGUGGUGCAUGGUUGUCGUCAGCUCGUGUCGUGAGAUGUUGGGUUAAGUCCCGCAACGAGCGCAACCCCUGCCGAUAGUUGCUACGCAAGAGCACCCUAUCGGGACCGCUACCGAUAAGGUGGAGGAAGGUGGGGACGACGUCAAAUCAUCAUGCCUCUUAUGACCUGGGCUACACACGUACUACAAUGGCCGUUAACAGAGGGACGCAAUACCGCGAGGUGGAGCAAACCCCUAAAACGGUCUCAGUUCAGAUUGCAGGCUGCAACUCGCCUGUAUGAAGUCGGAAUUGCUAGUAAUCGCGGAUCAGCAUGCGGCGGUGAUACGUUCCCGGGGCUUGUACACAC
RNAcentral lists this ribosomal RNA (760 nucleotides) under uncultured bacterium. Its description in RNAcentral is "bacterial SSU rRNA". It matches the Rfam family "Bacterial small subunit ribosomal RNA", at positions 625 to 1390 of the family's 1533-position model. The record is from RNAcentral.